UCUUGUAAGCAUAUUAUUUACUAGUACAUAAGAUUAGAAACCAAUCUUCUCUCUAAAACAUACUAAGAAUUCCAAAAGGUAGAAGCAAGAAUGUCAAAGACCUCAACUUACUCCCAAAACAACUACUGAGCUUGUCCAUGCCUGUGUAUGGACAUGAUCAAGUCCCUGAAAACAAAAACAUGGGAAUACGAACUAGGCCAUAUCAUGAACAAAAUCGAUGAAAGUAUGGAACAUAGAAACCAACAGCUAAUUUCUUAAUAAAGAUGUUUUAUGGUUAGUAUGCUAAAUAUGUGAAACCAGAAAAUAGGUAUUAGUCAUUUACUUCCUAAGCACAGGUUGUCCAGAACACCAGAUGUGGGGUUAAUAUAGAUUCCAAAUAUCUUAAGAAGGUUAGCCAAAAGUAAAUAGGAAACAAGAAAUAAAGGAAACAAAUACCGUGGGACAUUUCAUACUUUUCAGUGUUCCCUAUGAUCCAGCACAAGGGUGAGCCACUAGAAGUGUUGCACGUUUUUGCUAGUUUGAACAUUGCCUAUAUAAUUCCGUGUACAGUGUUCCAGAGCACAUACAAGGACAACUAUUUGAAUAUGCACAUGCAAGUGAGUAUGUAGCGUUCAUGCACAUGAAAAGAGUCUAAACCAUGUUUGACCAUAUUCGGCCCAUGAAGCUCAGAAAAAAGCUGGAAAAAUAAAUUGACUGUGACAAUGAAAUCUUUCAAAAAGCAAUAAUUCUGCAUGAUUAGACAAUUACCAGGGUGUCCCCAUUCCCCAUCUGCAUAUUUAAGUCUGAUGGGAAGCAUUCCCUUUAGAAUACAUCAGAUAGUGAGCAACUGAGCAUAGAUUGCAUAACAUAAACCAGAGGUAAAACACUUUCUCAGUCUCUCAUGAUUGCGCCCCAAAAAACAUAUAUUGGUCAUAUUGUAUCAUGAACCAAUUUGGAUUGAUCAUACAUUAAUUAUUUUUGCGGAAGUUAAAGGUUGACUUUGUGUGGAAGAAGGUGAAGCCAUCCAUGUGCUCCUAGCUUAAAUAUGGAUGUAACCCAUAAUUUAGCACUACAUAAAAAGGAACAAAAAUGUUAAAGAAAAUAUGAGGGUAGAUCAUAGGUUAAACCAACAAUAGACUAGAACAUGAUCCAGAAGCUUCAGACGUGAAGACAUCAAACAACCAAUACACAUCAGAGCAUCACGUUAAAUAAAAUUAAUUGCAGAUCGAACACCAUGCAUUAUCAGAGUGAAGGAAUAAAUCUUCAGAAGAUAACAAUAAACAAAAAGAUAUGGAGGACCUUUAUAGUCCAAUAUUUUUUUGAAGAAAACUAAUAUACGUUCACAAAUCUUCAAAACCGUUUACAAAGAACAGGAGGAAACAACUGAAUUUAAGAAAAUGGUUUUUGACAAGUUACCACAAGUCAUCUUGCAUCACUACAUUUUUUGUUACAAUGGAACUCGCAGCCACUACUCUAUGGGUGUGCCAACCACUCAACGGGUAAUCUCAAAGUAUACUAUAUGGUGGCCUUUUGCGUAUGCCAUGAAAAGCACUUUUUACUAGGCUCACGACCGAUUCAACUAACCCUUGGGGGGGGGGGGGUAACAUGCAUCACUUAACGUCAAAAUACCAAUCAGCUAAUCAAAAUGAACUGCAACAAAAAUGGUCAAGUUUUAAAAAAGAUGAGCCACUUAUGCGAAGAUAUUAGCAUAAUUAACUUGAGACAACUCCAGGCAUCCUCUUUUCUUUUUGUAAUUUUUCUUUUAUAUUUGAGUUAAAUUAGGCUAUUAGUCAGUCUAACAAACAUACUUCUUAGUUUUUUACACUGAUGAUAGAAGCAAAAACUCGGGUUCAAAAAAAACUUAAAGUAACUAGAUAACCUUUUCUUGAAUUUUGAUGGGGUAAUUCACAGUAAACUCAUGUAGCUUGAAGUUGUAGGUUCAACAGUAGUUUGCAAAAAGAAGAAAGUUCGGUACAAAACGACAUUGAUAUUGAUCAACAAUAAGUUCCCUAAUGCUACGUUUGGAUUGAAUGAAUGGAAUGAUUCAUUCCAUUCCAGUUGGAAUGAGUUAUUCCAUACUCUCCCUCCCCCAAAGAAAAAAUUCAUAAAUUAGGGAGGAAUAAGAAUGGUUCAAUUCAUUCCAAUCGCAACCAAACACAAUUUUUUUCAUUCCAUAAGAAUGAAUUAUUCCAUUACUACCUUCAUUACUCUAAUCCAAAUGUAGCAUAAGACUUAUACCAUGACAGUGAAUCAAAAAUUGAAAUUUCAAAACUGUACAAGUUAACUGGGAAAUACAUACAACAUGAAAAAGAUAGAAGGUACAAUGAGUACGCAUACAGAGAAAAGAAAGUGGGGAAAACAAGCAAAAUAAUAAAGAAUGCUGGUUUACAGUCACUUCAAGCAUGCAUGAACAAAUCCCUUACAAAUCUUCAGAUGCUAAAACAGUUUUCAAGUAUAUAAUAUAAUGAAUCCAUUUUGAGCACAAAGGAUAGUACAUGAGAAGUCUGGUGUUCCAACAGUCCCUCGAGAGGACUGUUGAUAGAUGAAAAUCAUUAUGCAGAUGCACAUCUACGUACCUUGUUGAUGCCAGUUCUUUUAUCCUUGUGAAGAACAACCUCAACAUUAUUUUCAUGUCCUCCAAACAAGGAGUGAAUUUGACAUCAAAGAAGGAAUUAUUAAUACUAGUACAGAAAUAUAAAGUUCACAAGCACAGGUAACAGUGAGAAUAUUGAGGGCCAAAUUUUAAAUGCAUGUAACAUCAUUAUAUUAUCAUCUUUAUUUAAUUUAUAUAUCCUUCAUAAAUCACAUGAUUAUAUUUAUAACAAGCAAUGAUUAGAGAAGAUGCGAUGAUAAACUUGUGUGCAGUUUGCACAUGCUAGAUAUAGUGGAUGAAAGUUGUAGGAAAAACUACGCUGAUUAAUUAAGAAGAAAAUCAUAUAAUGCUGUUAUUAUCAGACAAACCGGUUAAUUUAUCACAUUGAAGGCAUUGAGAUACUACUAACAUCUUUCCCAUCCAAUUUAAAAGUUUCAACUCGGCAACAUUAUUGAGAUUCAGAUGAAAAACCUUGAAUGAAAAUUCCAAGUUAAUAACAAAUGGAGUAUCUAACAACGAAAUUGAAGUUAGAAUUAUGGUUAGUAUCUUUUGCCUUGUAAAAGUUAAUCAAAUUUAGAGCAAAGGCUACUAUCAUAUACCCUGUCCUUUCCAAAAUGAGGUUCUCAUCCCACUAUUAGAAAAUCAUAUACAUUUUUUUAAGUACUAAUUUAACAACUUACCUCAAUUUGUAAUAGCAGGUAACACUUCAGUCUGUGUCAAAAAUGUGGACUUUCUUUUUCAGGAUGUUUAAAUUAAAAAACAAUGGAGCUUCAUUUUGCUAUUGAGAGAGAGAGAGAGCAGUUGACCAAUCCGAGUCCGGAACAAAUCUAGGGACAAAUACCAAGUACGAACCAGGCUUCGUACCUCCGGCAACCCAAUCGGAGUCCGAAUCAAAUUAAAUCCAUGCCUUAAACCACUGGCCAAUAGUAUCUUCUUGAUAAUCUUAGUCCACCACAAAAAGGUUAUGACCGUAGGUAAUAUUGGUAGAAACUCAAUUCCUUAAUAUUCUUAGUAACUCAAUUCCUUAAAUAUAAGGACAAACUUUGUGUAUCGUUGGUAACUCAAUUCCUUGUAAUAUAUAUCUACACGUAUAUAAGGAAAUAAUUGAAAAAUAAAGAAUGCAAACCAGGAGAAAAUGCCUUUUCCGGUCACGGGAGCAAAAUAAUGACUGCAAACACUUUGGCCAAAAAAUCAGUUGUUCGGUUUGCUACUGUAAUUCUGGUGUUAGCGGUGGUGAUGAUGACGGCCUUUAUGGUGAUGUUGGUGGCUAUUGUCAUUUGUCGGAGUUCCUUUCGUGGUGAAUAAAGGUGUCAUCGGUGUUCCAGACGACGUCGCAGGGUGAUAGCUGCUAUUGGGGUCUCUAUGUUACUUCGACUUUGUGUUCGGGAAUAAAGUGCAAUUACACCGUG
Molecule: long non-coding RNA, 3981 nt
Filed under: Panax ginseng (ginseng)
Lineage: Eukaryota; Viridiplantae; Streptophyta; Magnoliopsida; Apiales; Araliaceae
Description: long non-coding RNA (PGIN_LNC006255)
Source: RNAcentral